RNAcentral lists this small nuclear RNA (161 nucleotides) under Olea europaea subsp. europaea. RNAcentral describes it as "U1 spliceosomal RNA". It matches the Rfam family "U1 spliceosomal RNA". Rfam says of the family: U1 is a small nuclear RNA (snRNA) component of the spliceosome (involved in pre-mRNA splicing). Its 5' end forms complementary base pairs with the 5' splice junction, thus defining the 5' donor site of an intron. The record is from Rfam by way of RNAcentral. Lineage: Eukaryota; Viridiplantae; Streptophyta; Magnoliopsida; Lamiales; Oleaceae.
AUACUUACCUGGACGGGGUCAAUGGGUGAUCAAGAAGGCUCAUGGCCUAGAUUGGCGACCUCCAUUGCACCUAGGAGGGGCGCCCGUCUAAGGUCGGCCCAAGUGGUCGAGCCUACGUCAUAAUUUGUGGUAGAGGGGGCCUGCGUUCGCGCGGCCCCUGC